RNAcentral lists this unclassified non-coding RNA (368 nucleotides) under Tuber sp. 18 KA-2010. RNAcentral's name for it is "partial contains ITS1, 5.8S rRNA, ITS2 and 28S rRNA". The stretch from base 209 to 362 matches the Rfam family "5.8S ribosomal RNA". Lineage: Eukaryota; Fungi; Ascomycota; Pezizomycetes; Pezizales; Tuberaceae. The record is from RNAcentral.
UGUUUGGGAUACCCAACUUGGGCCCCUAAGCAAACACUUCCAUGUGUACUCUCCCAUGUUGCUUCCCCAGACCAGUGGCCACUGCUGCCAGCUCAGCCCUGUAAUGGGUUUCCUGGGUUGAGGUGUCUGGGGAAGGGCCCAAUAUCAAACCUUUAAACUGAAUUAGUUGUCGGAGAAGGCCAUGUGCCGUAACAUUUAAACUUGUUAAAACUUUCAACAACGGAUCUCUUGGCUCUCGCAUCGAUGAAGAACGCAGCGAAAUGCGAUAAGUAAUGUGAAUUGCAGAAUUCAGUGAAUCAUCGAAUCUUUGAACGCACAUUGCGCCCUUUGGUAUUCCUUAGGGCAUGCCUGUUCGAGCGUCACUAAAA